UGACAGAUGGCUGAAUCUCGCUUACGA
Molecule: non-coding RNA, 27 nt
Filed under: Bombyx mori (domestic silkworm)
Lineage: Eukaryota; Metazoa; Arthropoda; Insecta; Lepidoptera; Bombycidae
Source: RNAcentral